AUGGAGACUACAAGAUCGUGUGGUCCCUUGGAUUUUGAGGUCAGUUGCAUCGACGGCAGUGUUCCUGUUCUACGGAGCUCUGGAUUCAAUGACUUUACGAUCAUGGACGUCUCCUACGAGGAACGCAGUAUGCAUGUCGUUGAUGUAAAGAUAGAAGAAGACUUCAACGUCUCGAAGAGCUGCCAUUUCCCGAGAUGGAACACCUCUGGCAAACUGGCACUUCCGUUUAAGGUCAACCCAGCCAACAUGAACCUCAUCUUCUAUAACUGCACCAAGACGAUGGCGCAUCAGGGCCGGGCGCUGGCGGAGAUGAGAUGUGUGAACACGAGUAACACAUUUGUUCGCUCGGGAGUGCGUUAUGAUGCAAUCGGGGACUACGCCGACUAUGCUUUGGAGGGCUGUGAUGCUAUCGUCAUGCCGGUGAUGGGCUCGUUCGGCGAGGCGAACAGGAGCGAUUACGAGCGGCUCAUCAGCGAUGGCUUCCUCUUGACAUGGGAUCUCCCUCUCCCUACUCCUGCACCUGCACGUAAGUUCACCUGCCAAAUUAUCUUUAAACAAUGCUUUGUAGUAAGUUCAAUCGUCAAAAAAUCCUCUUGA
Molecule: ribosomal RNA, 597 nt
Filed under: Triticum aestivum (bread wheat)
Lineage: Eukaryota; Viridiplantae; Streptophyta; Magnoliopsida; Poales; Poaceae
Description: partial small subunit ribosomal RNA
Source: RNAcentral